UGUUUAUGAUGAUAAACUUAAUUUUCAGUUCUGCUACUGAACAAAUCUUGAUGACAAACCUAUACCAAUACCAAAAAACAUAUCUGAUAA
This 90-nucleotide small nucleolar RNA is filed under the name Niveomyces insectorum RCEF 264. Lineage: Eukaryota; Fungi; Ascomycota; Sordariomycetes; Hypocreales; Cordycipitaceae. The record is from RNAcentral.